Molecule: unclassified non-coding RNA, 315 nt
Filed under: Hevea brasiliensis (rubber tree)
Lineage: Eukaryota; Viridiplantae; Streptophyta; Magnoliopsida; Malpighiales; Euphorbiaceae
Source: RNAcentral
AACAAUGUCGCAACCAACUUCAGAUUCUAGGAGUUCCCUAAGGCCCUGACCCAUGUCAGAAGGUGGAAGAGGAAUCGAAUACUGUUUUGGUCCGUCAAGACGAGUUCUGACAACUCCGACAGUGCAAUUCAUGAUUAGACAGUCAUCCUUUAUAUAAUCAGAAUUUUCUAAGGUAGUCCUCCUAAAGAAUCGCUUGUAACCCCACAUGCUUCCUCUAUACUUGAGGGUGUAAGGUCCACUCUCCAACGCACGAUCAAAGUGGCUAUGCACUUUGUGCUUCCCAUUUCCACUCUGAUCCACCAACGUCAACUCGAA